RNAcentral lists this ribosomal RNA (467 nucleotides) under uncultured bacterium. RNAcentral describes it as "partial 16S ribosomal RNA". It matches the Rfam family "Bacterial small subunit ribosomal RNA", at positions 29 to 507 of the family's 1533-position model. The record is from RNAcentral.
ACGAACGCUGGCGGCGUGCUUAACACAUGCAAGUCGAACGGAAAGGCCCUGCUUUUGUGGGGUGCUCGAGUGGCGAACGGGUGAGUAACACGUGAGUAACCUGCCCUUGACUUUGGGAUAACUUCAGGAAACUGGGGCUAAUACCGGAUAGGAGCUCCUGCUGCAUGGUGGGGGUUGGAAAGUUUCGGCGGUUGGGGAUGGACUCGCGGCUUAUCAGCUUGUUGGUGGGGUAGUGGCUUACCAAGGCUUUGACGGGUAGCCGGCCUGAGAGGGUGACCGGCCACAUUGGGACUGAGAUACGGCCCAGACUCCUACGGGAGGCAGCAGUGGGGAAUAUUGCACAAUGGGCGGAAGCCUGAUGCAGCAACGCCGCGUGCGGGAUGACGGCCGUCGGGUUGUAAACCGCUUUCGCCUGUGACGAAGCGUGAGUGACGGUAAUGGGUAAAGAAGCACCGGCUAACUACGUG